This 301-nucleotide ribosomal RNA is filed under the name uncultured bacterium. Its description in RNAcentral is "partial 16S ribosomal RNA". It matches the Rfam family "Bacterial small subunit ribosomal RNA", at positions 509 to 807 of the family's 1533-position model. The record is from RNAcentral.
CAGCAGCCACGGUAAUACGAAGGGGGCUAGCGUUGCUCGGAAUCACUGGGCGUAAAGGGUGCGUAGGCGGGUCUUUAAGUCAGGGGUGAAAUCCUGGAGCCCAACUCCAGAACUGCCUUUGAUACUGAAGAUCUUGAGUUCGAGAGAGGUGAGUGGAACUGCGAGUGUAGAGGUGAAAUUCGUAGAUAUUCGCAAGAACACCAGUGGCGAAGGCGGCUCACUGGCCCGAUACUGACGCUGAGGCACGAAAGCGUGGGGAGCAAACAGGAUUAGAGACCCCCGUAGUCCCUGUCUCUUAUAC